This 2078-nucleotide long non-coding RNA is filed under the name Homo sapiens (human). RNAcentral describes it as "HSALNT0127174". Lineage: Eukaryota; Metazoa; Chordata; Mammalia; Primates; Hominidae. The record is from RNAcentral.
CCCUAACCAGCCAACACAGCCUCUGGGAGCUCACAGCCAAUGACUGACUGAUACAAGGCUGACCAGGUUGUCUCAAGGGGCAGGACAACUUUGCCUCCAGUGUAUGCCCCUGAGCUCCUCUGAGGAUCAAUUCAAGAUAGUGCACAACACGGGCCAAUGAACACAGAAUUCUGGUGGACCUACUAUGCCUGGGAUUUCAGUGAGACUCAAAGUGAGUGCAAGUCACCAUCAUAAAGAUUCAAUAUUCAAGACCACGAAGAAGAACCCAGACCAGGGAUUGCUUCAUUUGGAUUCCACCUACCGCAGUUGUUACAUCUAAGUAGGGACAACGAAAAUCUCCUGCUAUGGUCUUGAUCCUAGUCAGUAAAAGAGCAAAUUCCAAGCCUCCUAAGGGGCAUUUUCAUCCUUCCCCAUCUGUCCUUACAGAUAAGGAAGAGAUUCCAGGAAUGACUCGGUUCCUGGAACCUAGAAUUAGUCCCCCUUGUUUUCUUUAUCUAUCCAAAUCCUGUCUUAGGGAUCAACUUUCACAAGCUUUCUCUCCUUAAAGACUUUCACCUCGAAUUACCUUUUUUUUUUGUCAUAUUCCUAUUCCUAUCUGGAGUCACACUCUUGAGAACCUUCUAUACUUUCGUCAUGCAUUUAUUAGCAGAUAUCUAUAAAGUUCCUACAGUGUGUCAGGCACUGUGCUAGGCGCUAGUGCAACAAUGAUGAAUGCUAUACACAUCCACCUCACCCUUUUAUAGUUUAUAGUAUCAUGGGGAGAUGGAGAAGUAGAUGCUCAAUAAACACAUUUUGUCUGAUGGGUAUACCUUGAAACAGCAAAAGUAAAGUCUGUUUCAUCAUAAUUUGAUCCGUUCACAUUUAUGGGCCAGAUCCUGUGGUAGACCUGGGAUACAAAGAUGAACUAAACAGAGACUCUGCUCUCAAGAGUUUAUAUAAUCUGCAUUUGCAGGUUAUAAUAAACUCUGAUCUGCAUCUUUGGGCAAAAGCAUUCUUUUCUAGGUAUCUUAACCACGAUCUCAAGUAUGUGCUCUGUGUGUUUACUGACAUAUCAUCAAACACAGUCUGUAGGGAAAGUAAAUGAAAUACGAACCAAAGGCGCCAGUCCUUGGAGUGUUGUGGCUUCCUCUGCCUCGUAGAGAUAGAAAUUCAAAGGAGCAAAGAAGUAGCCAGGGGCUGGUUCAGAGCAGCUACGGCCAGUGACAUGUGGGCGGCAUUCACACUGCCCAUUCUUGGGUGAGCACCUGAGGAAAAAGCAAUUCAUCAUGAAAAAAUGCAAAGUAGGUGAGCGGAAAAUGAAGGUGUAGGGGUGCUGGGCUAAUGCUCCCUGAGUUUGGAGCAAUCCUUAGAAUCAGUCAAUCAAUGGUCCUGUGGGAAGAUGCAGAAAGGCCAUGGGUUUAACAUAACUGGUCUUGAAUAGUGAAUCCAGGGCCAUGGAGCCCAGGCGGCCACUUUCCCCACCCUCCGCCCCCAACCCCCCACUGCCAGGUUCUGCUCUAAAAUCUGGCAAAAAGGGGGCUUUAGGAUCUCUCUUUACAACAUGGCAAAAAGCUGGUGUUUUAGGCAGGUCACACGUAUUCAAGCACCCAUGCCACCAGCUUGUGGUGGGAUACCCAGCAGAAGGAUUGUUUACCUCACCCUUGGAAAUAUUUGAAGUGAAAGAAAUCAAUGGGCUGUAGUUAAUGUCUCAAGAUCAUUGCUUGUCAUGGAAUGAAAUUUUUCACCUAUGACUAUGAGCGUAUCAGAAUAAAAUGUGCUUUUAUGUUUAAAUAAGGAAUAUUGCUAUAAAACUUAUUUGACUUACACGUUAGAAUAAGCACCUCCAAUAUCACAGUCACAGGGAGAACACCCAUGGAGAUGAUUUCCCAGGCCCCAGUAUCCAACCUACAGAGAAAAAAUGCUCAGCUGAUUCCAGCUAUGAAGAUGCUGUUGCUCUGAAGUGCAACACUGAAAUCACUACAAUGCAAUUGCCACACGUCAAAUAGCCAAACAGCCUGCACCAUCUCAGAGAAACCUUCCUGGCCUAUGCGCUUGGCUAAUGAUCUUCCAUGGACACAUCUCCCAUCUCCAGGAUUUGA